Molecule: non-coding RNA, 3474 nt
Organism: Sus scrofa (pig)
Lineage: Eukaryota; Metazoa; Chordata; Mammalia; Artiodactyla; Suidae
Source: RefSeq, a predicted model, not a curated record
AUUCAGGGCCGUGGGCUCAGCAGGUUACUGGGGCGAUUCAGGGCAGAGAGCCAGGGCAGGGCAAGCCUGCGGCUGAGAGAGCCUGCUGAGCGGGGCCCUUUGCCCCGGGGGCCCUGGCUCUGAGUUCGGGCUCCACCUCCCAGCCCCUUCCACCACCCACGUGGCUGGCUGAGCGCCCAUCCACCUGCCCUGUGCCGCGGGCGGGGGGCUUUCAGGAGGCCCGGCUGUGCCCCAACAAUGCUGCUUUGUGCCAAGAGGGACCCAGAGCCUUGUAAAGGAGGAGCCCCUGCCACCAUCUCCCCAGUUUUGGAGGCACUUCGGGGGAGCAGGAGUUCCCAGGAUUCUUGAGGGCUGUCUGCAGCCCCUGCUUCCUGUGAAUGCAGGAGAAUGAGCCGGCCAAGAGACCCAGGGAAUUGCUCAGAAGUCAGUCUGGCCUGUUUUAAAUCUUCGGGUCUGCUGCUUCCCAACUGUGUGACCUUGGGGGUGUGGCUUUACCUCUCUGAGUCUCAUUUCAUGGACUGGAAAAUGGAGUUGAUAACAGCACCUAUCCCACAGGAUGUAGCAGACUGGGUGAGGGACAGGGUAUGUCUGGUGCCCCCUGGCAUCGGUGGGUGGGGGAAAGGCUCCCUGGAGGGGGGCCUCCCUCCUUUCCUCCUCCCCCCUCCCCUCGCUCCCCCUCCCGCAGCCCCUGCCCCACCGUGGCUGGCGAAGGCAGCACAGGGCCGCCCUCCCAGAGCCCUGGCAGGUGGGCAAGGCCUUGGACUCUUACGUUUUCGUGUGAAUGUCUUCAGCGUGGACUUAAACAAUUCGGAUAACCCUGCGGAUGAGUUUUGGAAAUGAGUCUGGCAGCAGAAGAGGCAAAGGCAGCGAGCCGCCGGCCCAGGGACCCGUUUCCCGGAGGAAACAAGGCAGCGUGGGGAUGAUUUUCUUCCUUAUUUACGGAGCAAACCUCCGCGCCCAGGAAGCCCUGCACAGCGGUGGCCCUGGUGCAAGGGGAGAACGGAGGCCCUGAGCGCCUGCCGGCUCCCCUGGGGACCGUGGAGGGUCUGGGGGCCGUGGGCCCUCCUGCUCCCCUGUCCUCUGGCCUCAGCAUCAGGGCGUCACCCGCACCGUGGCGCUGCCUUCCUGCCAGUGGGUCCGUUGCGUCCUGGGGGGCCUAUGGCCGGACCCCUUCAGGCCCCCGAUGGCACGCAGCAGGGGCCAGGACACUGGGGGCCUCACCCCUUGCCUCCCCCAUGGGACUGUGUGUGGGGCCCUGACAGCCCCACCCGGAGACGUGAGGCUGCCCUGCGCCAGGUGUGUCUCCCACAGGUGCUGCCAGGCCCCCAGGGUCUGCAUAGGUGUACACAGGGUUCCACGGCCAACCCCCGUGGGGCCUGCCCCGUGCCGGACGCUGUUCUAGACGUUUCCAUGUGUAUUAGCUCACUCACUCCUCGGAGAGUCGAACAGAUGGGACCCCGAUGACCCCGUUUUAUAGGCGAGGAGCCGAGGUGUGGAAGCGAGGCCCCAAGGGAGGGACAGGAGCCCCGGGGCCCUGAGCCGGGAGGCGGAGCCCCCUGCAGCAUCUCUGGCCCGUGUGCUCUCCUGCGUCCAAGGUCUUUCCUGUCCGUGAUCACUCACCUGCUGCAGUGGGUUGGAUGGGGACCCCCAGGGUGGGGCCACGUCCUGAGCCCCGGCGCCUUAAAUGUGGCCUCAUUUGAAUAGAGGGUCCUGGUUACAGAUCCCAAGACGAGAUCGUGCCCCUCACCUGGUGCCCCUAAAUCCAAGGACAGAUGUCCCAUCGGAGACACACGGCGGGAAGGUGGAGGAGGCCACGUGAUGGCGGAGCAGAGGCUGGGGCCACGGGGCCACACGCCCCAGAAACCUGGACACCCCGGAGCCGGAGGGUCCGCCCCUAGAGCUUCUAGAAGGGGCGUGACGCCUGGAUUUGGGGCUUUCGUUCCCAGAAAUGUGAGAAAAUAAUUUGUCGUUAUAAGCCAACACCUUGUCGUAUGUGACGGCAGCUGGGGACCCUCGUACACCCUGUACGGGGCUCUGUGGUGCCCCCCCCCACCCUUGCAGAGCGGAGAGGUGACGUUACUUUGGUGGAGACAUUUUUGUGAGUGGCCCCCAGCUGCUCCCAGGGGAAAGGCUGCCGCGGAGAAGCCUGCGUGGGUCAGAGAGGGUGACCCCUGUCCCCGGCCACACCCACCCACCGUCCCAGCCGCUGGGGCUGUGCGCGGCCUUAGCUCAGAAACGGAGCAUGUCUUGCAGGCGCCAAGGCUGGUGCCCUGUGCAGGUGGGCCCCUGAGGGAGAGCUGAGUGUCCCCUCCAUCACUGCCUGUGAGCAUGGACCUGCUGUGUGCCCAGCUUGAGAGGCACCCAGGGGCUUCGGGCCCACGCCUAGUCCAGAGCGGGUGCCCAGGGGACAGAGCCCACUCAGGGACCAGCCCCAUAACACCAGGAAGCACAGGCCGAGGAGGCCUCCCACCCAGAUUCUGGGACCUUCUGGCUCCCAGGGGGCCUGUGGGAAUCCUGUCCCUCCUCUGAGGAGCCCAGCUGCCCCCGAUGCCCGGUGGGGCCCCUUCCCCCGCCUCAGGGCCUGCGUGGUCCUUGGGGAGCUCGCAGAGGCUGGGGUUUCCAUGGCCACCAGCCUCUCCUCUGCCCAGGAUCUGCUUAUUCCUUAUUCAGCACCCAGUGGCCCCCACUGGGAGGCUCCGUUUCCUGCCACACUGAGGUGGUGGGGGAGGUCACGGGGCACCGGGUCCCCUUCCAGCUGAGCUCCCACUGGCAAAAUGCGAGCAGGAGGCACGGGGAAGGCUCCGGUCCUCCCCACUGGUGGGACUUGAGGCUGGAGUUGGCAGCUGGGAUAUUGGGGUGAAUGAGGACCACGACGGCAGCCCCACGCCCAGGUGGACACUGGGGGACCUGAGGCUUGCAGAGGGCUGUGUCUGGGGUCGCACGUGGGGUCUGGCCGGCCCGCCCAGCGUCUGCUCGGCAUCUGUGGCUGGGUGCCCCAGUGCAGGGGGCGCUGGGGCGAAGCUUCCCGACCUUCCCAGCGCUGCGCGGCAUUGCUCUGCAUCUGGGGCUCCCGUCGGGGUCUGGCCUCAGCUGUGGCCCCUUCUCCAGCCCCCCUGCUGCCCCAACAGUCCCGUCACGUGUUGGAGCCUGCUUCAGGGCGAGCUGACACUUUGCGAGAAGAAUUAAGACGAAUGUUGGCGAAACGCUUGGCCGUGGAAACGGCCAUCUUCCCGCAAGUGCUGCCGUGCGGGGCCCGGGGGAGUGCAAUCGGCCUGCGGGAGGCCGUGUCCCCCAGCGAGCUCUGGGCCCUGCGGAGAGCCAGGCCCUCCCCUGGAUCAGGCACAGGCCUGAGCCCGUCGGGCCUGCACACCGUUGGGGAUGGAGAGGAAGAGGCCGGAACAGAGACCGCAGCCAGGAGCAGGGCAACGGCUGUCCUCGCCAUCUGUCCCUCGCGCGCUUUCGUAAUAAAUUCAU